AGUGAACGCUGGCGGCAGGCCUAAUACAUGCAAGUCGAACGGCAGCACAGCAGAGCUUGCUCUGUGGGUGGCGAGUGGCGGACGGGUGAGGAAUACGUGGGAAUCUGCCCAGUCGUGGGGGGAUAACGUAGGGAAACUUACGCUAAUACCGCAUGCGCCCUUCGGGGGAAAGCCGGGGACCUUCGGGCCUGGCGCGAUUGGAUGAGCCCACGUCGGAUUAGCUAGUUGGCGGGGUAAAGGCCCACCAAGGCGACGAUCCGUAGCUGGUCUGAGAGGAUGAUCAGCCACACUGGAACUGAGACACGGUCCAGACUCCUACGGGAGGCAGCAGUAGGGAAUAUUGGACAAUGGGCGCAAGCCUGAUCCAGCCAUGCCGCGUGAGUGAAGAAGGCCCUCGGGUUGUAAAGCUCUUUUGUCCGGAAAAGAAAGCGCCGGGUUAAUACCCUGGUGUCCUGGACGGUACCGGAAGAAUAAGCACCGGCUAACUUCGUGCCAGCAGCCGCGGUAAA
RNAcentral lists this ribosomal RNA (509 nucleotides) under uncultured bacterium. RNAcentral's name for it is "bacterial SSU rRNA". It matches the Rfam family "Bacterial small subunit ribosomal RNA", at positions 29 to 524 of the family's 1533-position model. The record is from RNAcentral.